RNAcentral lists this ribosomal RNA (433 nucleotides) under uncultured bacterium. Its description in RNAcentral is "partial 16S ribosomal RNA". It matches the Rfam family "Bacterial small subunit ribosomal RNA", at positions 29 to 507 of the family's 1533-position model. The record is from RNAcentral.
AACGAACGCUGGCGGCAUGCCUAACACAUGCAAGUCGAACGAGACCUUCGGGUCUAGUGGCGCACGAGUGCGUAACGCGUGGGAACCUGCCCUUAGGUUCGGAAUAACUCCCCGAAAGGGGUGCUAAUACCGGAUAAUGUCUUCGGACCAAAGAUUUAUCGCCUUUGGAUGGGCCCGCGUUGGAUUAGCUAGUUGGUAGGGUAAAAGCCUACCAAGGCGACGAUCCAUAGCUGGUCUGAGAGGAUGAUCAGCCACACUGGGACUGAGACACGGCCCAGACUCCUACGGGAGGCAGCAGUGGGGAAUAUUGGACAAUGGGCGAAAGCCUGAUCCAGCAAUGCCGCGUGAGUGAUGAAGGCCUUAGGGUUGUAAAGCUCUUUUACCCGGGAUGAUAAUGACAGUACCGUGAGAAUAAGCUCCGGCUAACUCCGUG